GCAAGAAUAAAAUGACCAGAUUGAAUUAAGUAUUAUGCCUCCCUAUUAUCUUUAGACUAUGCGAAUGGUAUUGAAAAGUAAGAGGCGUGUCAGCGUUUUGAAGUCAGAUCUACAGGCCAUCAUCAAUCAAGGCACUUUGGCUACUUCUAAGAAAGCCCUGGCAAGUGACCGGAGUGGCGCAGAUGAACUGGAGAACAACCCAGAGAUGAAAUGUUUAAGAAACUUAAUUUCUUUGCUGGGAACAUCAACAGAUCUCAGGGUAUUCCUCAGCUGUCUGUCUUCACAUCUCCAAGCAUUUGUGUUCCAG
This 307-nucleotide long non-coding RNA is filed under the name Pan troglodytes (chimpanzee). RNAcentral describes it as "long non-coding RNA NONPTRT010628". Lineage: Eukaryota; Metazoa; Chordata; Mammalia; Primates; Hominidae. The record is from RNAcentral.